RNAcentral lists this ribosomal RNA (321 nucleotides) under uncultured Thermobacillus sp. RNAcentral's name for it is "bacterial SSU rRNA". It matches the Rfam family "Bacterial small subunit ribosomal RNA", at positions 1076 to 1398 of the family's 1533-position model. Lineage: Bacteria; Bacillati; Bacillota; Bacilli; Caryophanales; Paenibacillaceae. The record is from RNAcentral.
UGGGUUAAGUCCCGCACGAGCGCAACCCUUGAUCUUAGUUGCCAGCAUUCAGUUGGGCACUCUAAGGUGACUGCCGGUGACAAACCGGAGGAAGGUGGGGAUGACGUCAAAUCAUCAUGCCCCUUAUGACCUGGGCUACACACGUGCUACAAUGGACAGAACAAAGGGCAGCGAAACCGCGAGGUUAAGCCAAUCCCACAAAUCUGUUCUCAGUUCGGAUCGCAGUCUGCAACUCGACUGCGUGAAGCUGGAAUCGCUAGUAAUCGCGGAUCAGCAUGCCGCGGUGAAUACGUUCCCGGGCCUUGUACAACCCCGCCCGUA